Molecule: long non-coding RNA, 516 nt
Organism: Scomber japonicus (chub mackerel)
Lineage: Eukaryota; Metazoa; Chordata; Actinopteri; Scombriformes; Scombridae
Exons: 5
Source: RefSeq, a predicted model, not a curated record
GAACACUAGAUGUCUCAUCCGCGCUGAGUCCAACGUCCGCCACUGGCGGCCAUCUUGCUACGGGCAAGCUUUCUAGUAGAAUCUGUGUUAACUGAGGUUUUCUCUUCGAAAAACGACUUAACCGUUGCUGACUUGAGAAUUGAAGAUGCCAGACUCUUGUGCAGCUUACGGAUGCGCUAAUCGGCGUUGUCUCGAAAUGAGAAGCAGUGGGAUCACCUUUCACUAGUUUCCCAAAACCGGAGAGAGGAGGCGUAUGUGGGAACUUGCCCUAAGAAGGGACGGUUUUGCCGCCUCUGACAGGACCGUGCUCUGCAGUGACCACUUCAGGAGUGAGGACUUCGACAGGACGGGGCAGACUGUCCGGCUUAAAGAUGGUGUUGUGCCAACCAUUUUCAGCUUUCCAGCUCAUCUUCAAAGGUCGGUAGCAACAAGAAGCACAACCACUUCUAGAAGAGCGGAAGAUAACCUGCCAAUGGACUUGAUGUCUGAUGUUGGAGCCACUGGAGAGAGGAGAUU